RNAcentral lists this ribosomal RNA (279 nucleotides) under uncultured bacterium. Its description in RNAcentral is "partial 16S ribosomal RNA". It matches the Rfam family "Bacterial small subunit ribosomal RNA", at positions 506 to 784 of the family's 1533-position model. The record is from RNAcentral.
UGCCAGCCGCCGCGGUAAUACAGAGGUGGCAAGCGUUGUUCGGUAUCACUGGGCUUAAAGGGCGCGUAGGCGGCGCGAUACGGUCUGGGUGAAAUCCCUCGGCUCAACCGAGGAAUUGCCUGGGCAACGGUCGUGCUAGACAGCAUCAGGGGAAGGUGGAACUCGCGGUGGAGCGGUGAAAUGCGUAGAUAUCGCGAGGAACGCCGGUGGCGAAAGCGACCUUCUGGGGUGCUUGUGACGCUGAGGCGCGAAAGCUAGGGGAGCGAACGGGAUUAGAUA